AUGCCUUUUGGGAUGAAUUGGUCCCUGACAUUUGAUCCUCAUCUUCUUCACUUUGUCUGCUAAAACAUUUCCAUUUUUAGCUGAUCAUUUACGGAUGGGAUAUUU
Small nucleolar RNA from Phragmites australis (common reed), 105 nucleotides. RefSeq annotates it as small nucleolar RNA snoR99. Lineage: Eukaryota; Viridiplantae; Streptophyta; Magnoliopsida; Poales; Poaceae. The transcript has a single exon. The record is from RefSeq and is a predicted model, not a curated record.